GGGAGUACACGAGCGGCGAACGGGUGAGUAACACGUGAGCAAUCUGCCCUUCACUUCGGGAUAACUCCGGGAAACCGGGGCUAAUACCGGAUACGACCUCUAAGGGCAUCCGAAGAGGUGGAAAGUUUUUCGGCUGAGGAUGGGCCCGCGGCCUAUCAGCUUGUUGGUGGGGUGACGGCCUACCAAGGCGACGACGGGUAGCCGGCCUGAGAGGGUGACCGGCCACACUGGGACUGAGACACGGCCCAG
Molecule: ribosomal RNA, 249 nt
Filed under: uncultured bacterium
Lineage: Bacteria
Description: partial 16S ribosomal RNA
Rfam family: Bacterial small subunit ribosomal RNA
Source: RNAcentral